Non-coding RNA from Escherichia coli ISC11, 134 nucleotides. Lineage: Bacteria; Pseudomonadati; Pseudomonadota; Gammaproteobacteria; Enterobacterales; Enterobacteriaceae. The record is from Rfam.
UAUUCUUCCUAUGCGGGAAGGAUGAGAAGCUUCGACCAGGGUUCGAUUCGAGCGUUAGCGAGAAAGCGUUGCCGCAGGCAACGACCCGAAGGGCGAAGCGCGCAGCGCUGAAGUCAAUCCUUCCCCCACCACCA